ACUUUAAUUGAAGAGUUUGAUCAUGGCUCAGAUUGAACGCUGGCGGCAGGCCUAACACAUGCAAGUCGAGCGGUAACAUUU
Molecule: ribosomal RNA, 81 nt
Filed under: Vibrio alginolyticus
Lineage: Bacteria; Pseudomonadati; Pseudomonadota; Gammaproteobacteria; Vibrionales; Vibrionaceae
Description: partial 16S ribosomal RNA
Rfam family: Bacterial small subunit ribosomal RNA
Source: RNAcentral